RNAcentral lists this transfer RNA (76 nucleotides) under Acidobacteriota bacterium. RNAcentral describes it as "Acidobacteria bacterium tRNA-Lys". It matches the Rfam family "tRNA". From Rfam's summary of the family: Transfer RNA (tRNA) molecules are approximately 80 nucleotides in length. RNAcentral also lists the same sequence under 2 other names. The record is from RNAcentral. Lineage: Bacteria; Pseudomonadati; Acidobacteriota.
GCCUCCAUAGCUCAAUUGGUAGAGCAGCGGACUCUUAAUCCGUUGGUUCCAGGUUCAAGUCCUGGUGGGGGCACCA